Non-coding RNA from Cynoglossus semilaevis (tongue sole), 73 nucleotides. Lineage: Eukaryota; Metazoa; Chordata; Actinopteri; Pleuronectiformes; Cynoglossidae. The record is from the annotation of a RefSeq genome assembly.
GGUUCCAUAGUGUAGUGGUUAGCACGCCUGCCUCCAGAGCAAGCAGUCCUGGGUUUGAUUCCCAGAGGAACUA